This 2230-nucleotide long non-coding RNA is filed under the name Mytilus galloprovincialis (Mediterranean mussel). The record is from RNAcentral. Lineage: Eukaryota; Metazoa; Mollusca; Bivalvia; Mytilida; Mytilidae.
AAACGGUAUAAAAGAACAAUUCUGAAGCAGUAUUCUUUACAUACUAUUCUAAUUGCUUUGAACAAAGGUAAGAAAUCAUUUAAGUAUAUAUAUAUACUAUAAAAAUAUUCAUAGAUAUACAAAACAAUAAUUAUGUAAUGUUGACAAACAUAAACAUUAAAUAAUUCAUUGAAUAAUUAGAAAAAAAGGGAUAAAUGAAAUUACAAAUACUAUAUGUUAAAAAUGAUCCAAUACUAAUUUUCCGUAUAGUAAAACAUGUAAUGUCAGUGAAGCAAAGCAAACAAAGAAGUUGUAAGAAAGAAAUAUUGUUUAACAAUUUAAUUAAGAAUAGAUUAUCAAAAAGUCUGCUUACUUUGCACAACAAUUGAAAAUCAAGAGACACAUCAACAUUCUUAUUCCAGUAACAUAUAAUACUAAUUCUGUUUUUUUUUCAGAAUUUCUAAAGAUGAUGAGAUUUCAGACCUUUUUCUUUUUGAUGGCAUUGACCACAAUGACAGUAGCCCGUAAGUAAGACAAUAACAAUCAAAACCAAGGAGUAAACAAAGACUCACAAAAACCAAAGGACAUUUCCAUUAACAGUUAUAAAUAAUAAUUAAGAAACAACACGAACUCCACUAAAAACCGGAUGUAAAAUCAGGUGCUCCGGAAGGGUAAGCAUUUCCUGCACCGUAUACGGCACCCGUCGUGUAAUUUCUUUGUUCAGUCCGGUAAUGAUGGAAGGUUAUUAUGACUGAGAAAUAUUCAGAUAUGAUUUCUGACACACUUUUGUCAUAAUGGACAAUCAGCUCAUGAUGGCGACCGUAAAAUUUCUUGAGUGAUGACCUAAAUUUGAUUGAUUCAUAGCCCUGUCUUAGCAACUUUUGAGAAAGCAGUAUUCGUCGUUCAACAAAAUCAGCGUACUUUGAGCUAGCUCUAGAAUAACGUAUCAAUUGAGGCACAUAUACUCCAUAUGCUGGUGCCGCUGGGAUGUUGCUAUACAGAAAUGGAAAGUUGACUAUAGAAAAAUUAAAAUCAUCGCGUUUGUCAUAAAUUUUGGUAUUCAACCUACAAUCAGUAGUCAUUUCGAGAAAAAGGUCUAAAUAUUAAGCAGAUUUAUCUAUGUCGGUAGUAUCUUUGAUUUCAAGUUCAGUUAAAUAUAUUAAAUGUAAGUGAUCACUGAAUCUAUUAUUAUUAGUACAGUAUAAAAUUAGCUUUCUGCUAGUUUACAGACUGUUUUAACAGACGUAUUUUUGGUGUUAAUUUACAAAAAUUUAAAUGCCUUACUAUCAAAAAUCUUUUAAAAGAUAUAAUUUCAGUACUUACAUCAGAUAUUUACUAACAUCUGCAUAUUUUUUUUUUAUAUCAUAACAAUAGUUUCACAAAAGGUUUUUUGUUUGAAUUGAUUCACAUUUGUCAUGUGGAGUCAAUUAUUGCUAACUAUACGGUAUGGCCUUGAACGUUAUAUAAAAUGUCAGAUAUAUUUAUUUUACAGUCUAUUCACCAACGAAAAAACAUGCAUUGGAUAGACAUGGAAUAGAAAAGGUUUUGUUGGUCGAAAACACGGUAGGAAGACAUUUGAAUGGUCGUCGAGGUGGCGAAUCUCUUUCUCUACUGGAUGUUAUUGAUGCAAAUAGACGAGCAGGAUCAAGAGCUGUUGGAACAUCUCAUGGAAUAGGCAGUGAAUUUAUUACACAUGGGUCAUCUUCCGGUAGAGGAUUGUCUGGGGCUUCUGUUCGAGACAGAACCUCUAUUUCUGGAAUAAUUAAAGGCUCUUCAACUGGAUUGUCUCGUGCUUUAUCUGACGUUGAUGAUCAUUUCACCAUUGGCAGCCGAAUUGGUUCAUCUGGUCUGGCUAGAAAUGCGGAUCUGUCCAGAAAUUCUCAUUUGGAAACUAUUGGUAGUGGCCGUGGAGUGUCUGGUCAUACAGGUGCAGAUAUUCUUGACGCAAUCAGUUCAAGACGAGAUGGGCGUAUUGUACUAGACACUGUUUCUGCCAGACGUAGUGGAUCAGCACGUACUUCAGGUUCAGGGUUCGUUUCUCAGUCAGUGGUAGGAGGAAAAACUGAUUGCAAAAAUAGCUGUUUUAGUGAUGGAGAUUGUCCAACAAACAGAUACUGUGCCACUGUUAAUUGUCACAGGAUUUGUAGGAGAAGACUGUCUAAAGGAUACACAGCAUGAACAGCAAAACACUGAAAUCCAGACUUUACACUCACAGUAUUGGUUUUUAUAAAAUAAAAUUUGGAAUACAGUU